GAAAUGCGAUAAGUAAUGCGAAUUGCAGAAUUCAGUGAGUCAUCGAAUCUUUGAACGCACAUUGCGCCCCGUGGCAUUCCGCGGGGCAUGCCUGUUCGAGCGUCAUUUCAACCCUCAAGCUCCGCUUGGUGUUGGGCCCUGCCCGUCGCGGCCGGCCCUAAAGUCAGUGGCGGCGCCGUCGGCUCCAAGCGUAGUAAUGCUCUCGCUCUGGGGUCCGGCGGCCGCUGGCCAGAACCCACACAACCUACGGUUGACCUCGGAUCAGGUAGGGAUACCCGCUGAACUUAA
This 288-nucleotide unclassified non-coding RNA is filed under the name uncultured Myxotrichaceae. RNAcentral describes it as "sequence contains ITS1". The stretch from base 1 to 105 matches the Rfam family "5.8S ribosomal RNA", at positions 50 to 154 of the family's 154-position model. The record is from RNAcentral. Lineage: Eukaryota; Fungi; Ascomycota; Leotiomycetes; Myxotrichaceae.